CCCUUAGAUGUUCUGGGCCGCACGCGCGCUACACUGAUGCAUUCAACGAGUUUUUCCUGGUCCGAGAGGAAUGGGUAACCUUUUGAAAGUGCAUCGUGCUAGGGAUAGACUAUUGCAAUUAUUGGUCUUCAACGAGGAAUUCCUAGUAGACGUAGUUCAUCAGACUGCAUCGAUUACGUCCCUGCCCUUUGUACACACCGCCCGUCGCUCCUACCGAUUGGAUGAUCCGGUGAGCCAUUCGGACUUUCAUCAUGCUGGUUUCCAGUUUUGAUGAAGGAAAGUCUUGCGAACCUUAUCAUUUAGAGGAAGGAGAAGUCGUAACA
This 323-nucleotide ribosomal RNA is filed under the name uncultured eukaryote. Its description in RNAcentral is "partial 18S ribosomal RNA". It matches the Rfam family "Eukaryotic small subunit ribosomal RNA", at positions 1470 to 1796 of the family's 1831-position model. The record is from RNAcentral.